AUACGGAGGGUGCAAGCGUUGUCCGGAUUUAUUGGGUUUAAAGGGUGUGUAGGCGGUGUAUUAAGUCAGUGGUGAAAGCCUGCGGCUCAAUCGUAGAACUGCCAUUGAUACUGACACACUUGAGUUUGGUUGAGGUAGGCGGAAUUUAUGGUGUAGCGGUGAAAUGCAUAGAUACCAUAAAGAACACCGAUAGCGAAGGCAGCUUACUAAGCCGAAACUGACGCUGAGGCACGAAAGCGUGGGGAGCGAACAGGAUUAGAAACCCCAGUAGUCC
RNAcentral lists this ribosomal RNA (274 nucleotides) under uncultured bacterium. Its description in RNAcentral is "partial 16S ribosomal RNA". It matches the Rfam family "Bacterial small subunit ribosomal RNA", at positions 523 to 796 of the family's 1533-position model. The record is from RNAcentral.